ACGCUGGCGGCAGGCCUAACACAUGCAAGUCGAACGGUAACAGGAAUUAGCUUGCUAAUUUGCUGACGAGUGGCGGACGGGUGAGUAAUGCUUGGGAAUCUGGCUUAUGGAGGGGGAUAACUACGGGAAACUGUAGCUAAUACCGCGUAAAAUCUUCGGAUUAAAGGGUGGGACUUUCGAGCCACCUGCCAUAAGAUGAGCCCAAGUGGGAUUAGGUAGUUGGUUAGGUAAAGGCUGACCAAGCCGACGAUCUCUAGCUGGUCUGAGAGGAUGACCAGCCACACUGGAACUGAGACACGGUCCAGACUCCUACGGGAGGCAGCAGUGGGGAAUAUUGCACAAUGGGGGGAACCCUGAUGCAGCCAUGCCGCGUGAAUGAAGAAGGCCUUCGGGUUGUAAAGUUCUUUCGGUGACGAGGAAGGUUGAUAGGUUAAUAGCCUAUCAAAUUGACGUUAAUCACAGAAGAAGCACCGGCUAACUCCGUGCCAGCAGCCGCGGUAAUACGGGGGGUGCGAGCGUUAAUCGGAAUAACUGGGCGUAAAGGGCACGCAGGCGGUGACUUAAGUGAGAUGUGAAAGCCCCGAGCUUAACUUGGGAAUUGCAUUUCAUACUGGGUCGCUAGAGUACUUUAGGGAGGGGUAGAAUUCCACGUGUAGCGGUGAAAUGCGUAGAGAUGUGGAGGAAUACCGAAGGCGAAGGCAGCCCCUUGGGAAUGUACUGACGCUCAUGUGCGAAAGCGUGGGGAGCAAACAGGAUUAGAUACCCUGGUAGUCCACGCUGUAAACGAUGUCGAUUUGGGGAUUGGGCUUUGAGCUUGGUGCCCGUAGCUAACGUGAUAAAUCGACCGCCUGGGGAGUACGGCCGCAAGGUUAAAACUCAAAUGAAUUGACGGGGGCCCGCACAAGCGGUGGAGCAUGU
This 918-nucleotide ribosomal RNA is filed under the name uncultured bacterium. RNAcentral's name for it is "bacterial SSU rRNA". It matches the Rfam family "Bacterial small subunit ribosomal RNA", at positions 33 to 942 of the family's 1533-position model. The record is from RNAcentral.